Molecule: long non-coding RNA, 296 nt
Filed under: Ananas comosus (pineapple)
Lineage: Eukaryota; Viridiplantae; Streptophyta; Magnoliopsida; Poales; Bromeliaceae
Description: long non-coding RNA (ACOM_LNC038253)
Source: RNAcentral
CGUGUCGAUUUCCAUUUCCAAUUAGGGACCUACCCAAGGUAGUCCGGCUUGUGCCGCCUAAGUGCCUGUGGUAGCCCAACAUCCCUACUCUUGGAAUGUGUCUGUCCCACUCGACCCCGUAGGCUUCUCGAUACCGCACGAGCGAACAUAAGUCGCGUAGGCUAACUCCGGAGUGCCGGCUUGUAGGGAGCGACCCUCACAAGCAUGUGCGAAUGAGCACAAAUGGCAAGCAAGCAUAGUCCAAGUCUCAAGUAUCCAAUCCUCAUGUCUCUAACAUGGUAGAGUCACUAGCAUCC